UAAGGAAUAUUGGUCAAUGGACGCAAGUCUGAACCAGCCAUGCCGCGUGGAGGAUGACGGCCCUCUGGGUUGUAAACUCCUUUUAUCUGGGAAGAAAUGCAGGUUUUCUAAUCUGUUUGACGGUACCAGAGGAAUAAGCACCGGCUAACUCCGUGCCAGCAGCCGCGGUAAUACGGAGGGUGCAAGCGUUAUCCGGAUUCACUGGGUUUAAAGGGUGCGUAGGUGGAAUGGUAAGUCAGUGGUGAAAUCUCCAAGCUUAACUUGGAAACUGCCGUUGAUACUAUCAUUCUUGAAUAUCGUGGAGGUGAGCGGAAUAUGUCAUGUAGCGGUGAAAUGCUUAGAUAUGACAUAGAACACCGAUUGCGAAGGCAGCUCACUACACGAUCAUUGACACUGAGGCACGAAAGCGUGGGGAGCAAACAGG
Molecule: ribosomal RNA, 424 nt
Filed under: uncultured bacterium
Lineage: Bacteria
Description: bacterial SSU rRNA
Rfam family: Bacterial small subunit ribosomal RNA
Source: RNAcentral